Molecule: unclassified non-coding RNA, 253 nt
Filed under: uncultured Bacillaceae bacterium
Lineage: Bacteria; Bacillati; Bacillota; Bacilli; Caryophanales; Bacillaceae
Description: contains 16S-23S intergenic spacer region
Rfam family: Bacterial small subunit ribosomal RNA
Source: RNAcentral
UACGUAGGUGGCAAGCGUUGUCCGGAAUUAUUGGGCGCAAAGCGCGCGCAGGCGGUCCUUUAAGUCUGAUGUGAAAUCUCGCGGCUCAACCGCGAGCGGUCAUUGGAAACUGGGGGACUUGAGUACAGAAGAGGAAAGCGGAAUUCCACGUGUAGCGGUGAAAUGCGUAGAGAUGUGGAGGAACACCAGUGGCGAAGGCGGCUUUCUGGUCUGUAACUGACGCUGGGGCGCGAAAGCGUGGGGAGCAAACAGG